UACGGAGGGUGCAAGCGUUAUCCGGAAUCACUGGGUUUAAAGGGUGCGUAGGCGGCCUUGUAAGUCAGAGGUGAAAUCUUCCCGCUUAACGGGAGAACUGCCUUUGAUACUGCAAAGCUUGAAUGAGCACGAGGCAGGCGGAAUGUGGCAUGUAGCGGUGAAAUGCUUAGAUAUGCCAUAGAACACCGAUUGCGAAGGCAGCCUGCCAGAGCUGUAUUGACGCUGAGGCACGAAAGCGUGGGGAGCGAACAGG
Molecule: ribosomal RNA, 253 nt
Filed under: uncultured bacterium
Lineage: Bacteria
Description: partial 16S ribosomal RNA
Rfam family: Bacterial small subunit ribosomal RNA
Source: RNAcentral